UACGUAGGGUGCGAGCGUUGUCCGGAAUUAUUGGGCGUAAAGAGCUCGUAGUCGGUUUGUUGCGUCGGCCGUGAAAACCUGCAGCUUAACUGUGGGCCUGCGGCCAAUACGGGCAGACUUGAGUUCGGUAGGGGAGACUGGAAUUCCUGGUGUAGCGGUGAAAUGCGCAGAUAUCAGGAGGAACACCGGUGGCGAAGGCGGGUCUCUGGGCCGAUACUGACGCUGAGGAGCGAAAGCGUGGGGAGCGAACAGG
This 253-nucleotide ribosomal RNA is filed under the name uncultured bacterium. RNAcentral's name for it is "partial 16S ribosomal RNA". It matches the Rfam family "Bacterial small subunit ribosomal RNA", at positions 524 to 776 of the family's 1533-position model. The record is from RNAcentral.